Molecule: ribosomal RNA, 497 nt
Filed under: uncultured bacterium
Lineage: Bacteria
Description: partial 16S ribosomal RNA
Rfam family: Bacterial small subunit ribosomal RNA
Source: RNAcentral
GAUGAACGCUGGCGGCGUGCCUAAUACAUGCAAGUCGAGCGAACAGAUGAGGAGCUUGCUCCUCUGACGUUAGCGGCGGACGGGUGAGUAACACGUGGAUAACCUACCUAUAAGACUGGGAUAACUUCGGGAAACCGGAGCUAAUACCGGAUAAUAUAUUGAACCGCAUGGUUCAAUAGUGAAAGACGGCUUUGCUGUCACUUAUAGAUGGAUCCGCGCCGCAUUAGCUAGUUGGUAAGGUAACGGCUUACCAAGGCAACGAUGCGUAGCCGACCUGAGAGGGUGAUCGGCCACACUGGAGCUGAGACACGGUCCAGGCUCCUACGGGAGGCAGCAGUAGGGAAUCUGCCGCAAUGGGCGAAAGCCUGACGGAGCAACGCCGCGUGAGUGAUGAAGGUCUUCGGAUCGUAAAACUCUGUUAUUAGGGAAGAACAAAUGUGUAAGUAACUAUGCACGUCUUGACGGUACCUAAUCAGAAAGCCACGGCUAACUACGUG